RNAcentral lists this non-coding RNA (20 nucleotides) under Arabidopsis thaliana (thale cress). Lineage: Eukaryota; Viridiplantae; Streptophyta; Magnoliopsida; Brassicales; Brassicaceae. The record is from RNAcentral.
UGGGACUCCAACUCUUUGGU